This 89-nucleotide transfer RNA is filed under the name Synergistota bacterium. Its description in RNAcentral is "Synergistetes bacterium (hot springs metagenome) tRNA-Leu". It matches the Rfam family "tRNA". From Rfam's summary of the family: Transfer RNA (tRNA) molecules are approximately 80 nucleotides in length. The record is from RNAcentral. Lineage: Bacteria; Thermotogati; Synergistota.
GCCGAGAUGGCGGAAUGGGAAGACGCGCCGGACUCAAAAUCCGGUGGGGUUAAAGCCCCAUGCGGGUUCAACUCCCGCUCUCGGCACCA